RNAcentral lists this ribosomal RNA (327 nucleotides) under Sarasinula linguaeformis. RNAcentral's name for it is "partial 16S ribosomal RNA". It matches the Rfam family "Bacterial large subunit ribosomal RNA", at positions 1928 to 2576 of the family's 2925-position model. Lineage: Eukaryota; Metazoa; Mollusca; Gastropoda; Systellommatophora; Veronicellidae. The record is from RNAcentral.
CGGCCGCAGUACUCUGACUGUGCAAAGGUAGCAUAAUCAAUUGGCUUUUAAUUGGAGUCUAGUAUGAAUGGAUUUACGUAAAAGUUCUGUCUCAACAAAAUUUUUUUUAAAUUUUUUAAAAGGUGAAAAAACCUUUAGUAUCUAAAAGACGAGAAGACCCUAAGAAUUUUAAAAAAAUUAAUCUAUCUUUUUUGCUGGGGCGGCAACGGAUCAUGAAACAUCCGUAUAAUCGAGUUUUCGUAUUAUAAAUUACCUUAGGGAUAACAGCACAAUUGUUACCUCGAUGUUGGACUAGGAACCUUAAGGUUAGAUACUCUAAAGGUGAGU